UACGGCCAUAUCACAUUGAAACACCGUUUCCCGUAGGAUCACUGAAGUUAAGCAACAUCAAGCCUGGUCAGUACCUAGAUGGGUGAUUGCUUGGGAAUUG
RNAcentral lists this ribosomal RNA (100 nucleotides) under Acanthosepion pharaonis. Lineage: Eukaryota; Metazoa; Mollusca; Cephalopoda; Sepiida; Sepiidae. The record is from RNAcentral.